RNAcentral lists this ribosomal RNA (254 nucleotides) under uncultured bacterium. RNAcentral's name for it is "partial 16S ribosomal RNA". It matches the Rfam family "Bacterial small subunit ribosomal RNA", at positions 524 to 776 of the family's 1533-position model. The record is from RNAcentral.
UACGUAGGGGGCGAGCGUUGUCCGGAUUUAUUGGGCGUAAAAGGCUUGUAGGUGGCCACGUCAAGUCGGAUGUGAAAUCUCCCGGCUCAACUGGGAGGGGUCAUUCGAUACUGGCGGGCUCGAGGCCGGUAGGGGGAAGCGGAAUUCCCGGUGUAGUGGUGGAAUGCGUAGAUAUCGGGAGGAACACCAGUGGCGAAGGCGGCUUCCUGGACCGGUUCUGACGCUGAGGUGCGAAAGCGUGGGGAGCAAACGGG